This 496-nucleotide ribosomal RNA is filed under the name uncultured Sphingomonas sp. Its description in RNAcentral is "bacterial SSU rRNA". It matches the Rfam family "Bacterial small subunit ribosomal RNA", at positions 8 to 525 of the family's 1533-position model. The record is from RNAcentral. Lineage: Bacteria; Pseudomonadati; Pseudomonadota; Alphaproteobacteria; Sphingomonadales; Sphingomonadaceae.
AGAGUUUGAUCAUGGCUCAGAAUGAACGCUGGCGGCAUGCCUAACACAUGCAAGUCGAACGAAGGCUUCGGCCUUAGUGGCGCACGGGUGCGUAACGCGUGGGAAUCUGCCCUCAGGUUCGGAAUAACAGCGAGAAAUUGCUGCUAAUACCGGAUGAUAUCGCGAGAUCAAAGAUUUAUCGCCUGAGGAUGAGCCCGCGUAGGAUUAGCUAGUUGGUGUGGUAAAGGCGCACCAAGGCGACGAUCCUUAGCUGGUCUGAGAGGAUGAUCAGCCACACUGGGACUGAGACACGGCCCAGACUCCUACGGGAGGCAGCAGUGGGGAAUAUUGGACAAUGGGCGCAAGCCUGAUCCAGCCAUGCCGCGUGAGUGAAGAAGGCCUUCGGGUUGUAAAGCUCUUUCAGGUGGAAAGAAAACGCAUGGGUCAAUACCCUGUGUGGAUGACGGUACCAUCAGAAGAAGCACCGGCUAACUACGUGCCAGCAGCCGCGGUAAUA